UGUGUCUGGCCUGCUUACUUAAUAUAUC
RNAcentral lists this non-coding RNA (28 nucleotides) under Mus musculus (house mouse). The record is from RNAcentral. Lineage: Eukaryota; Metazoa; Chordata; Mammalia; Rodentia; Muridae.